This 510-nucleotide ribosomal RNA is filed under the name uncultured bacterium. RNAcentral describes it as "bacterial SSU rRNA". It matches the Rfam family "Bacterial small subunit ribosomal RNA", at positions 1 to 507 of the family's 1533-position model. The record is from RNAcentral.
CGAUACGAGUUUGAUCCUGGCUCAGGAUGAACGCUAGCGGCAGGCUUAACACAUGCAAGUCGAGGGGCAGCGCGAUGUAGCAAUACAUUGGCGGCGACCGGCGCACGGGUGCGUAACACGUAUGGAACUUACCCUUUACUGGGAGAUAGCCCGGAGAAAUCCGGAUUAAUAUCCCAUAAUAAACGAAGUGGCAUCACUUUGUUUUGAAAGCUCCGGCGGUAAAGGAUGGCCAUGCGCACGAUUAGCUAGUAGGUGAGGUAACGGCUCACCUAGGCUACGAUCGUUAGGGGGCCUGAGAGGGUUAUCCCCCACACUGGUACUGAGACACGGACCAGACUCCUACGGGAGGCAGCAGUGAGGAAUAUUGCGCAAUGGAGGCAACUCUGACGCAGCCAUGCCGCGUGCAGGAAGAAGGCGCUACGCGUUGUAAACUGCUUUUAACCGGGAAGAAACCCUCCGACGUGUCGGAGGUUGACGGUACCGGAGGAAUAAGCACCGGCUAACUUCGUG